GCCAGGCAUGGUGGUGCAUGCCUGUAGUCCCAGCUACUUGGGAGGCUGAGGUGGGAGGAUCACUGGAGCCUGGGAGAUCAAGGCUGCAGUGAGCCAUGAACAUGCCACUGCACUCCAGCCUGGGCAACAGAGGAAGACCCCAUCUCAA
Homo sapiens (human) is the source of this 148-nucleotide non-coding RNA. It matches the Rfam family "Metazoan signal recognition particle RNA". Rfam says of the family: The signal recognition particle (SRP) is a universally conserved ribonucleoprotein. The record is from Rfam. Lineage: Eukaryota; Metazoa; Chordata; Mammalia; Primates; Hominidae.